AUGAGCCAUACAAUGAAGCUAUGGGAGAGAGUCAUUGAGCACCGCUUAAGAAGAAUGACAAGCGUGACCAAAAAUCAGUUUGGUUUCAUGCCUGGGAGGUCAACCAUGGAAGCGAUUUUCUUGGUACGACAACUUAUGGAGAGAUAUAGGGAGCAUAAGAAGGACUUGCAUAUGGUGUUCAUUGACUUGGAGAAGGCCUAUGAUAAGAUACCGCGGAAUGUCAUGUGGUGGGCCUUGGAGAAACACAAAGUCCUAGCAAAGUACAUUACCCUCAUCAAGGACAUGUACAAUAAUGUUGUGACAAGUGUUCGAACAAGUGAUGUCGACACCGAUGACUUCCCGAUUAAGAUAGGACUGCAUCAGGGGUCAGCUUUGAGCCCUUAUCUUUUUGCAUUGGUGAUGGAUGAGGUCACAAGGGGUAUACAAGGAGAUAUCCCAUGGUGUAUGCUCUUUGCGGAUGAUGUGGUGCUAGUUGAUGAUAGUCGGACGGGGGUAAAUAGGAAGUUAGAGUUAUGGAGACAAACCUUGGAAUCGAAAGGGUUUAGGCUUAGUAGAACUAAAACCGAGUACAUGAUGUGCGGUUUCAGUACUACUAGCUGUGAGGAGGAGGAGGUUAGCCUUGAUGGCCAGGUGGUACCUCAGAAGGACACCUUUCGGUAUUUGGGGUCAAUGUUGCAGGAGGAUGGGGGUAUUGAUGAAGAUGUGAACCAUCGAAUCAAAGCCGGAUGGAUGAAGUGGCGCCAAGCUUCUGGCAUUCUCUAUGACAAGAGAGUGCCACAAAAGCUAAAAGUUAGGUGUGGCGGAGAUGCGUAUGUUGAGAUGGAUGUGUGGCCACACGAGGAAGGAUCGAGUCCGGAAUGA
RNAcentral lists this ribosomal RNA (861 nucleotides) under Triticum aestivum (bread wheat). Its description in RNAcentral is "partial small subunit ribosomal RNA". The record is from RNAcentral. Lineage: Eukaryota; Viridiplantae; Streptophyta; Magnoliopsida; Poales; Poaceae.